RNAcentral lists this unclassified non-coding RNA (391 nucleotides) under soil metagenome. Its description in RNAcentral is "partial contains 5.8S ribosomal RNA, internal transcribed spacer 2, and large subunit ribosomal RNA". The stretch from base 1 to 122 matches the Rfam family "5.8S ribosomal RNA", at positions 35 to 154 of the family's 154-position model. The record is from RNAcentral.
GAUGAAGAACGCAGCGAAAUGCGAUACUUGGUGUGAAUUGCAGAAUCCCGUGAACCAUCGAGUCUUUGAACGCAAGUUGCGCCCGAAGCCAUUAGGCCGAGGGCACGCCUGCCUGGGCGUCACACGUCGUUGCCCCCCCAUCUACUCCUUCGGGAUUGCGGGGGGCGGAUGAUGGCCUCCCGUGCGCCUCGUCGCGCGGUUGGCAUAAAUGCCAAGUCCUCGGCGACGCACGCCACGACAAUCGGUGGUUGCGAAACCUCGGUUGCCCGUCGUGUGCGGUCGUCGCGCAUCGAGGGCUCGAAAAAAUUGCCGGGCUCCGGCUCGGCUUUCAACGCGACCCCAGGUCAGGCGGGGUUACCCGCUGAAUUUAAGCAUAUCAAUAAGCGGAGGG